UACGGGGGGGGCAAGCGUUGUUCGGAUUUACUGGGCGUGAAGGGCGCGCAGGCGGCCGCAUUUGUCAGGCGUGAAAGCCCCGGGCUUAACCUGGGAACUGCGUUUGAUACGGUGUGGCUAGAGUUCGGGAGAGGAGAGUGGAAUUCCCAGUGUAGAGGUGAAAUGCGUAGAGAUCGGCAGGAACACCCAGGGGGAAACCAGUCGACUGGGCAGCACCUGACGCUGAGGUGCGAGAGCGUGGGGAGCGAACCGG
RNAcentral lists this ribosomal RNA (253 nucleotides) under uncultured bacterium. RNAcentral describes it as "partial 16S ribosomal RNA". It matches the Rfam family "Bacterial small subunit ribosomal RNA", at positions 524 to 776 of the family's 1533-position model. The record is from RNAcentral.